This 1208-nucleotide long non-coding RNA is filed under the name Oryctolagus cuniculus (rabbit). Its description in RNAcentral is "lncRNA (ENSOCUG00000037179.1)". Lineage: Eukaryota; Metazoa; Chordata; Mammalia; Lagomorpha; Leporidae. The record is from RNAcentral.
GAGAAGGAAGCCCGGGUUGUGACCCUUGGCGGCCCUGAAUGGGAGUCCUUACUCGGUCUGUCCCAACACUCCUGUGCCAAGGUGGGCUGAGAGAGGGGCGUGGGAUGAACCUGAGGCCUGACCCAAAAGAGAGGCAGCUCGCAGAGCACAGAGCCCCUGCGCUGUUGGGGACCUCUGGCCCCGCACCCCAACCCGCAUCAGGGGGCCCAGUGGGGAGGGGUUCUCCUAAAGGCUGGGUGGCCCAGCCUGGCCUUCAGGGCAGCUCAUGUCAUCUUUGUCCCCUGGGAUGUUCCUAGAAGAACUCGGAGCAGAGGGAGCAGAGCUGGGCCCUUGCCCAGCCCCCAGCCCAGCCCCCCGACCACGCAUUGGUGGUCAACUCGCUCCCUCCGCAGGCCCCACCCAGCAUCUUCCUUCUUCUACAGGAGGCCUGGGGGUUGGGGAGCCAGGGCCCUCGCAGGUGGGCAGAGGCCACAGCUACUUCCACUGCUUUGGACCCAAGUCUGUUUUCAAAGUGAAAAACAGGGACCGGAGUUCCAAAGGCUGUAGCUGGUUUGAAAUGUUUAUGGUUUCCAACAAGUCCCUUCCACUGACGAAACCUGAAGACGGCCUUAUAAGAAGCUCCUUGGCUGACGACAGGUGCAGCGCAGGUGCACGAAUGGAAGGCCCAGAGCCCAGCGGCCUCUUGAGCCCUGGACCCCCAGCCCCAGCCCCAGGCGCUGCAGAGCUCGGGGCGGGGGACAAGAACCAGGGGCCUGAUGUGUGCUCGGCUCUGAAGUCGGGAUGGCAGCUACAGAAAGCGCCUUGGUUGCCAGCUCGCACGCAUUUCCUGUUUUUUGGUUGCUUAACCCAUGACCUCUGGCCACAGCGGCCUCAGAACUCUUUCAGCUGCCCCCCUGGGUCCUGGGGUGAGAGGAAGUCUGGUUCCAUCCAAACACGGGGCAGUCAGAGAGGACAUCUACACCCCAGGGGCAGAGCCGGCCAUAGGAGGGAUGGGGGGGCAAGCCCUUGUUGCUGGGCAACCAGCUCCCUCUGUUGCCUUGGUGACGGCCCUGCCAGAGGGAGGCUGUGAGUCCCCAGUCUCCCCAGCACCAGCCAGCUCCUCCCCACUGCACACUGCCUCCCACAGGUAUUCUACGCCCCCUUCCAUCACCAGCCUCCCCAAGCCUUCAGGUUUGGGCUCAAGCAGUUCCCCAGCCCAGGGCAUUGCU